UGGGGAAUAUUGCACAAUGGGCGCAAGCCUGAUGCAGCCAUGCCGCGUGUGUGAAGAAGGCCUUCGGGUUGUAAAGCACUUUCAGCGAGGAGGAAGGUGGUGAGCUUAAUACGCUCAUCAAUUGACGUUACUCGCAAAAGAAGCACCGGCUAACUCCGUGCCAGCAGCCGCGGUAAUACGGAGGGUGCAAGCGUUAAUCGGAAUUACUGGGCGUAAAGCGCACGCAGGCGGUUUGUUAAGUCAGAUGUGAAAUCCCCGGGCUCAACCUGGGAACUGCAUUUGAAACUGGCAAGCUAGAGUCUCGUAGAGGGGGGUAGAAUUCCAGGUGUAGCGGUGAAAUGCGUAGAGAUCUGGAGGAAUACCGGUGGCGAAGGCGGCCCCCCUGGACGAAGACUGACGCUCAGGUGCGAAAGCGUGGGGCAGCAAACAGGAUUAGAUACCCUGGUAGUCCAGCGCUGUAAACGAUGUCGAUUUGGAGGUUGUGCCCUUGAGGCGUGGCUUCCGGAGCUAACGCGUUAAAUCGACCGCCUGGGGAGUACGGCCGCAAGGUUAAAACUCAAAUGAAUUGACGGGGUC
Molecule: ribosomal RNA, 576 nt
Filed under: uncultured bacterium
Lineage: Bacteria
Description: partial 16S ribosomal RNA
Rfam family: Bacterial small subunit ribosomal RNA
Source: RNAcentral